CCUACGGGCGGCAGCAGUGAGGAAUAUUGGUCAAUGGGCGCGAGCCUGAACCAGCCAAGUCGCGUGAAGGAAGACGGUCCUAUGGAUUGUAAACUUCUUUUAUCGGGGAGUAAAAGGCGCCACGUGUGGCGUUCCGAGAGUACCCGAAGAAAAAGCAUCGGCUAACUCCGUGCCAGCAGCCGCGGUAAUACGGAGGAUGCGAGCGUUAUCCGGAUUUAUUGGGUUUAAAGGGUGCGCAGGCGGAAGAUCAAGUCAGUGGUAAAAUUGAGAGGCUCAACCUCUUCGAGCAGUUGAAACUGGCUUUCUUGAGUGAGCGAGAGGUAGGCGGAAUUCGUGGUGUAGCGGUGAAAUGCAUAGAUAUCACGAAGAACUCCGAUUGCGAAGGCAGCAUACCGGCGCUCAACUGACGCUCAGGCACGAAAGUGUGGGUAUCGAACAGGAUUAGAUACCCUUGUAGUC
This 459-nucleotide ribosomal RNA is filed under the name uncultured bacterium. Its description in RNAcentral is "partial 16S ribosomal RNA". It matches the Rfam family "Bacterial small subunit ribosomal RNA", at positions 338 to 795 of the family's 1533-position model. The record is from RNAcentral.